RNAcentral lists this ribosomal RNA (139 nucleotides) under uncultured eukaryote. RNAcentral describes it as "partial 18S ribosomal RNA". It matches the Rfam family "Eukaryotic small subunit ribosomal RNA", at positions 1299 to 1458 of the family's 1831-position model. The record is from RNAcentral.
UGGUGGAGUGAUUUGUCUGGUUAAUUCCGUUAACGAACGAGACCUUUGCGUUCCAAUUUAACUGCUUUAACACUUGUGUUAUUGUAUGUUAUUUGAGGGACUAGCGAUUUUUCGUCGACGGAAGUUAGAGGCAAUAACA